RNAcentral lists this ribosomal RNA (484 nucleotides) under uncultured bacterium. RNAcentral describes it as "partial 16S ribosomal RNA". It matches the Rfam family "Bacterial small subunit ribosomal RNA", at positions 29 to 507 of the family's 1533-position model. The record is from RNAcentral.
AUUGAACGCUGGCGGAAUGCUUUACACAUGCAAGUCGAACGGCAGCACGGGGGCAGCCCUGGUGGCGAGUGGCGAACGGGUGAGUAAUACAUCGGAACGUGCCCGGUCGUGGGGGAUAACGUAGCGAAAGUUACGCUAAUACCGCAUACGGUCUGAGGAUGAAAGCGGGGGACCUUCGGGCCUCGCGCGAUCGGAGCGGCCGAUGUCAGAUUAGGUAGUUGGUGGGGUAAAGGCCUACCAAGCCGACGAUCUGUAGCUGGUCUGAGAGGACGACCAGCCACACGGGGACGGAGACACGGCCCAGACUCCUACGGGAGGCAGCAGUGGGGAAUUGUGGACAAUGGGCGCAAGCCUGAUCCAGCCAUUCCGCGUGCAGGACGAAGGCCUUCGGGUUGUAAACUGCUUUUGUACGGAACGAAAAGGCUCUGGCUAAUACCUGGGGCUCAUGACGGUACCGUAAGAAUAAGCACCGGCUAACUACGUG